GUCUGGGCGCGCUGGGCUCGUUCCGGCGUAAGAAAGCAGCGCUGCCGGGGCGAGCGGCAUUAGGGAAGCCAGGGUUGGGGGCUGCAGCCCAAGAGAGGCGGAAGAUUCUGGGCAGCCCUGUGGGGCAGGCCGGGUGGAGUUGUAGACCUGCCCCCAGGGUUGUUCUCUUGUGAGGCCACAAUCCCGGUCUGCCCACUAUCCAUGGCCCAGGUUUGUAUUUAGAGCGAAAACGAAAAGGAGAGAGGGUCUAACCUUGUCACAGAGGUAGACAUUCAGGGUGGGCCUAGGGACCGUGCCAAAGCUUUGGCUAGUGAAAAGGGCGGACGCCAAGGUCCCCUUCGGGUCAGCUGUCCGCCUUCGAUGGCUCAGAGACAAGAGACACUCUGAGCCAGUCCGAGGGCAGGCACGCCCUGCUCUCCUCCUACCAGUUCACCCCAUGG
RNAcentral lists this long non-coding RNA (440 nucleotides) under Mus pahari (shrew mouse). Its description in RNAcentral is "lncRNA (MGP_PahariEiJ_G0005175.1)". Lineage: Eukaryota; Metazoa; Chordata; Mammalia; Rodentia; Muridae. The record is from RNAcentral.